This 546-nucleotide ribosomal RNA is filed under the name uncultured Lycogala. Its description in RNAcentral is "partial 18S ribosomal RNA". It matches the Rfam family "Eukaryotic small subunit ribosomal RNA", at positions 90 to 563 of the family's 1831-position model. Lineage: Eukaryota; Evosea; Eumycetozoa; Liceales. The record is from RNAcentral.
CGAACGGCUCCGUAUAUCUGUUGUCACCUAUCGUGGUAAAUAUGGCGUGGAUAGAGCACGGAAAAGCUGUGUAUAACACAGACAAGUGGGGCCUUCCCCGCCCGUUAGCAUGGGCGGGGGGAUAAGCGGGCCCAUAACUAUGGGCCCCGCCUCAUUAACGGCUCUUAAAGUACCUUGGAAACUAAAAAGCUCCAGGCGAAACAGAGGCCUCUGCUGCCUGGCAAUUAUCGACUACGGUCGGGCACGUCGGGCAUGCGGCAGAGCCUAUCCACAAGCGCACGAUGGACUUCAGACCUAUCAGCUAGACGGUAGGGUAUUGGCCUACCGUGGCGAUGACGGGUACAGAGGAUUAGGGUUUGAUCCUGGAGAGGUAGCCUGAGAAAUCGCUCCCACUUCUAAGGAAGGCAGCAGGCGCGUAACGUUCCCAAUGCUAGGACCCCUAGUGAGGACGUAAUGGGACAUAACAAUACCCCUAUUCGAUAGUGGGUAAUUGACAAUGGGGCGGGCUUAAACACCCUGCCGAGAAGCAACUGGAGGACAAGUCUG